UACGUAGGGGGCAAGCGUUGUCCGGAUUUAUUGGGCGUAAAGAGCGUGUAGGCGGCGCGGUAAGUCGGAUGUGAAAUCUCGGGGCUUAACUCCGAAACUGCAUUCGAUACUGCCGUGCUUGAGGACUGGAGAGGAGACUGGAAUUUACGGUGUAGCGGUGAAAUGCGUAGAUAUCGUAAGGAAGACCAGUGGCGAAGGCGGGUCUCUGGACAGUUCCUGACGCUGAGGCACGAAGGCCAGGGGAGCAAACGGG
Molecule: ribosomal RNA, 253 nt
Filed under: uncultured bacterium
Lineage: Bacteria
Description: partial 16S ribosomal RNA
Rfam family: Bacterial small subunit ribosomal RNA
Source: RNAcentral